UACGUAGGUGGCAAGCGUUGUCCGGAUUUACUGGGCGUAAAGAGCGCGCAGGCGGUCGUUCAAGUCGCGUGUGAAAGCUCCCGGCUCAACUGGGGAGGGUCACGCGAUACUGAUCGACUCGAAGGCAGGAGAGGGAAGUGGAAUUCCCGGUGUAGUGGUGAAAUGCGUAGAUAUCGGGAGGAACACCAGUGGCGAAGGCGACCUCCUGGCCUGUUCUUGACGCUGAGGCGCGAAAGCUAGGGGAGCAAACGGG
This 253-nucleotide ribosomal RNA is filed under the name uncultured bacterium. RNAcentral describes it as "partial 16S ribosomal RNA". It matches the Rfam family "Bacterial small subunit ribosomal RNA", at positions 524 to 776 of the family's 1533-position model. The record is from RNAcentral.